Molecule: ribosomal RNA, 614 nt
Filed under: Aspergillus tamarii
Lineage: Eukaryota; Fungi; Ascomycota; Eurotiomycetes; Eurotiales; Aspergillaceae
Description: eukaryotic LSU rRNA
Rfam family: Eukaryotic large subunit ribosomal RNA
Source: RNAcentral
GAUACCCGCUGAACUUAAGCAUAUCAAUAAGCGGAGGAAAAGAAACCAACCGGGAUUGCCUCAGUAACGGCGAGUGAAGCGGCAAGAGCUCAAAUUUGAAAGCUGGCUCCUUCGGGGUCCGCAUUGUAAUUUGCAGAGGAUGCUUCGGGUGCGGCCCCUGUCUAAGUGCCCUGGAACGGGCCGUCAGAGAGGGUGAGAAUCCCGUCUGGGAUGGGGUGUCCGCGCCCGUGUGAAGCUCCUUCGACGAGUCGAGUUGUUUGGGAAUGCAGCUCUAAAUGGGUGGUAAAUUUCAUCUAAAGCUAAAUACUGGCCGGAGACCGAUAGCGCACAAGUAGAGUGAUCGAAAGAUGAAAAGCACUUUGAAAAGAGAGUUAAAAAGCACGUGAAAUUGUUGAAAGGGAAGCGCUUGCGACCAGACUCGCCUCCAGGGUUCAGCCGGCAUUCGUGCCGGUGUACUUCCCUGGGGGCGGGCCAGCGUCGGUUUGGGCGGCCGGUCAAAGGCUCCCGGAAUGUAGUGCCCUUCGGGGCACCUUAUAGCCGGGAGUGCAAUGCGGCCAGCCUGGACCGAGGAACGCGCUUCGGCACGGACGCUGGCAUAAUGGUCGCAAACGACC